This 556-nucleotide ribosomal RNA is filed under the name Collohmannia gigantea. Its description in RNAcentral is "eukaryotic LSU rRNA". It matches the Rfam family "Eukaryotic large subunit ribosomal RNA", at positions 645 to 1162 of the family's 3401-position model. Lineage: Eukaryota; Metazoa; Arthropoda; Arachnida; Sarcoptiformes; Collohmanniidae. The record is from RNAcentral.
UGACCCGUCUUGAAGCACGGACCAAGGAGUUUAACAUGUGCGCAAGUCGCUCGGACUUGAAUAGGCCAGAGAGGCGCAAUGAAAGUAAAGCUGAUUGAAUAACGAUCCUGAUUUUUUACCUUUAAAGGUAAAGGUCAGGCGCAGUUAUAGCCCGGCGAUUUCGCUUAUUGACGAUUUGCCGGAGUUUAGCGUUCAUGUUGAGACCCGAAAGAUGGUGAACUAUGCUUGGGCAAGACGAAGCCAGAGGAAACUCUGGUGGAGGUCUGUAGCGAUUCUGACGUGCAAAUCGAUCGUCAGACCUGAGUAUAGGGGCGAAAGACUAAUCGAACCAUCUAGUAGCUGGUUCCCUCUGAAGUUUCCCUCAGGAUAGCAGACACUCGGUGAGAUUCAGUCUCAUCCGGUAAAGCGAAUGAUUAGAGGCAUUGGGGCCGAAACGGCCUCAACCUAUUCUCAAACUUUAAAUGGGUGAGAAGCCUGACUUGUUUGAUUAAAGCCAAGCUUUGGAUGUAUGAGUGCCUAGUGGGCCAUUUUUGGUAAGCAGAACUGGCGCUGUGGG